This 390-nucleotide long non-coding RNA is filed under the name Rosa chinensis. Its description in RNAcentral is "sRNA RchiOBHm_Chr5g0032791". Lineage: Eukaryota; Viridiplantae; Streptophyta; Magnoliopsida; Rosales; Rosaceae. The record is from RNAcentral.
AUGUUUUUUAGAAAGAUGGGAUUUUUAUGUUGAAACUUUUUCAAUUACCAAAUUAGGGAGUUAAAUUUGGAGUCUUUAUGAUGGUGAUAGUUGUGAUUCUUGUAGAAAUUUGUGUUUGAUUUAUGAGAAGGUUAGGAACCCAAAUGAGAUCAGGGUUUUUGGUCUUGAAAUUUGGUAUGGUAUAAACCCCAAAAACACACACCAACACGAAAAGAACUAAUCAUUUGGAUUUGUGGGGUUGAGUUUGUUAUAGCUAAAAAAGAAUGCAACUUGCAAAGUUCUUAACUCAACAGCAUUCCAUCUCCUGUAGUGUUUUCUGCAACCAAAAUAAAGCAAUUGUUUAUUUUUGAAAGAAGUUUGCUCUUUUUUGGGGCGUUUUCUUUGGAUUAG